GUGUCAGCCGCCGCGGUAAUACGUAGGGGGCAAGCGUUGUCCGGAAUUAUUGGGCGUAAAGAGCGUGUAGGCGGCCAGGUAGGUCUGCUGUGAAAACUCGAGGCUCAACCUCGAGCUGUCGGUGGAAACCAUCUGGCUAGAGUCCGGAAGAGGAGAAUGGAAUUCCUGGUGUAGCGGUGAAAUGCGCAGAUAUCAGGAAGAACACCCGUGGCGAAGGCGGUUCUCUGGGACGGUACUGACGCUGAGACGCGAAAGCGUGGGGAGCAAACAGGAUUAGAAACCCUCGUAGUCC
This 292-nucleotide ribosomal RNA is filed under the name uncultured bacterium. Its description in RNAcentral is "partial 16S ribosomal RNA". It matches the Rfam family "Bacterial small subunit ribosomal RNA", at positions 505 to 796 of the family's 1533-position model. The record is from RNAcentral.